This 562-nucleotide long non-coding RNA is filed under the name Salvia miltiorrhiza (redroot sage). Its description in RNAcentral is "long non-coding RNA (SMIL_LNC002298)". The record is from RNAcentral. Lineage: Eukaryota; Viridiplantae; Streptophyta; Magnoliopsida; Lamiales; Lamiaceae.
GACAAACUCAAUACUACUACUUGGGAUUAUUAAUUGGAAACUAUUUCUAGCUACUUGGAAAAGAAAUGGGUUUUUUGACCAUACCCAUAAAAGUAAAAGUUAGGUCUUAAAUACUCCACCUAUUUAUUUCAACCGUGCGAAUUAUUACCACAUAUUUUGUACCUAUAAGUUUUGGAUAUACAUCCCUACUCUCACUAGCUAGUUACGAGUUUGAUAAAAAAAAAAAUUUGAAACUAAAGAAGAACUUAUGUGUUACCUUUAAAAUAGUGUCUCUUAACCAACUAGGAAAAUCGACGGUGCAAAAAACGCGCAUACUGUGCAAAACGAUAAGCUAAACGUGAUUAUCGUUAAUAAGCAAAGACGAUCGAGCAACUCGAAUAAUGUCGAGAGUAUCCUCCGGCAAAAACGGGCCUUCUUCCUCCGGGCUAGCCAUCACACGAGCCGCCAACAUCGAAUCUGUGCAAACUUCAAUGAAAGAUUAAACUUCUAUUGUAAACUAGAAAACAAAGAGUAUGGUUGUGGGCUUUCACCAUAACUUAUGGUGGAAUCAAUAAUAUAAUUG